This is a long non-coding RNA of Corticium candelabrum, 962 nucleotides long. RefSeq lists it as uncharacterized. The transcript is spliced from 3 exons. The record is from RefSeq and is a predicted model, not a curated record. NCBI's taxonomy places the organism in Eukaryota, Metazoa, Porifera, Homoscleromorpha, Homosclerophorida, Plakinidae.
UUGCUGACAGUGUUCGUCACACUGUUGUAGCUAGGCUUUUGCGAAAGGGUUGAACUCCACGUACGUCUCACUCGUAUUUCUAUUUCGUACGUUUGAUCCAACAUGUCGUCCGAGCCAAAGAACGACUGGCAACGAUAUGUUACGCCCAAGUUGCCGGAGCUUGUAGAUAAGCUAAAGCCAUCGUCGCUUCUGGAAGAAUUACUUGCUUGUGGCCUUCUAACAGCUGAAGAAUGCAGUUUUCUGAGACAUGGUUGUUCGACGGAGGAGGACCGCUCUCGAACCCUGCUGUAUGACAUUUUGCCGCGCAAGGAAAGCGAUGUUUUCAGUCGCUUUUGUCAGGCUGUUCGAAAUGUGAAAGGGCAGGAGCACAUCGUGACAGAAGUUUUGCAAGUGGAAAUCAUGACGAAGUCUUCUAGUGAAAAAUAGAGAAAACGCCACAACAGAAAGAACUUUUCGCCGUUCAGUUUGGCCCUUCUGCAAUUGGAACAUUGUCCAGCUACAGACUAGACGAAAUGAACAUACAGGCUAUCGUUUCAGACUUGCAGUUACUUGAGAUUGGCAAGGCUGUCAGAAAGAAAUGGUAUGAGAUUGGUAUUCGUCUUGGAGUAAAGGACGGAGAUUUGUCUGAUUGUGAAGACCGUUAUUUGAAUAAUGCUGAUCGUAUUAGAAGUGUCUUCUCACUCUGGAAGCAGCGAGUGAGCAAACCAACAAUUGCAAUACUCUUGGAAGCAUGCAAAAAAGCAGGUGUUGGAGGAGAAGCAACGAGAGCAUUGGAAGAUUCAAAAGCACAAUGAUCAAAUUUAGAGUUAAUCCAGAAUUAAUUAAUCUUAAUUAGUUUACGUACAGUCAAUAUGUAGAUAUUUGGCUGCACUCGAUCGGAUUUUUGUGCGUUUCUUUGUUUGUCUAUCCAUCUAUCUGUUUUUCACAUAUAUUUCAGACAUGAAAUAGGAUACAAAAGCAAC